This is a non-coding RNA of Myotis brandtii (Brandt's bat), 73 nucleotides long. The record is from Rfam. NCBI's taxonomy places the organism in Eukaryota, Metazoa, Chordata, Mammalia, Chiroptera, Vespertilionidae.
GCCUGUGUGGCUCAGUGGAUAGAGCGUCAGCCUGUAGGCUGGAGGGUCCCAGAUUUGAUUCUGGCCAAGGGCA